UACGUAGGGUGCGAGCGUUAAUCGGAUUUACUGGGCGUAAAGCGUGCGCAGGCGGCCCGUUAAGACAGGUGUGAAAUCCCUGGGCUCAACCUAGGAAUUGCGCUUGUGACUGGCGGGCUCGAGUACGGUAGAGGGGGGUGGAAUUCCUGGUGUAGCAGUGAAAUGCGUAGAGAUCAGGAGGAACACCGAUGGCGAAGGCAGCCCCCUGGACAAAGACUGACGCUCAGGCACGAAAGCGUGGGGAGCAAACAGG
Molecule: ribosomal RNA, 253 nt
Filed under: uncultured microorganism
Description: partial 16S ribosomal RNA
Rfam family: Bacterial small subunit ribosomal RNA
Source: RNAcentral